This 1131-nucleotide ribosomal RNA is filed under the name Bacillus sp. SJ21. Its description in RNAcentral is "bacterial SSU rRNA". It matches the Rfam family "Bacterial small subunit ribosomal RNA", at positions 200 to 1319 of the family's 1533-position model. Lineage: Bacteria; Bacillati; Bacillota; Bacilli; Caryophanales; Bacillaceae. The record is from RNAcentral.
AUAAAAGGUGGCUUCGGCUACCACUUACAGAUGGACCCGCGGCGCAUUAGCUAGUUGGUGAGGUAACGGCUCACCAAGGCGACGAUGCGUAGCCGACCUGAGAGGGUGAUCGGCCACACUGGGACUGAGACACGGCCCAGACUCCUACGGGAGGCAGCAGUAGGGAAUCUUCCGCAAUGGACGAAAGUCUGACGGAGCAACGCCGCGUGAGUGAUGAAGGUUUUCGGAUCGUAAAGCUCUGUUGUUAGGGAAGAACAAGUGCCGUUCAAAUAGGGCGGCACCUUGACGGUACCUAACCAGAAAGCCACGGCUAACUACGUGCCAGCAGCCGCGGUAAUACGUAGGUGGCAAGGCGUUGUCCGAUUAUUGGGCGUAAAGGGCUCGCAGGCGGUUUCUUAAGUCUGAUGUGAAAGCCCCCGGCUCAACCGGGGAGGGUCAUUGGAAACUGGGGAACUUGAGUGCAGAAGAGGAGAGUGGAAUUCCACGUGUAGCGGUGAAAUGCGUAGAGAUGUGGAGGAACACCAGUGGCGAAGGCGACUCUCUGGUCUGUAACUGACGCUGAGGAGCGAAAGCGUGGGGAGCGAACAGGAUUAGAUACCCUGGUAGUCCACGCCGUAAACGAUGAGUGCUAAGUGUUAGGGGGUUUCCGCCCCUUAGUGCUGCAGCUAACGCAUUAAGCACUCCGCCUGGGGAGUACGGUCGCAAGACUGAAACUCAAAGGAAUUGACGGGGGCCCGCACAAGCGGUGGAGCAUGUGGUUUAAUUCGAAGCAACGCGAAGAACCUUACCAGGUCUUGACAUCCUCUGACAAUCCUAGAGAUAGGACGUCCCCUUCGGGGGCAGAGUGACAGGUGGUGCAUGGUUGUCGUCAGCUCGUGUCGUGAGAUGUUGGGUUAAGUCCCGCAACGAGCGCAACCCUUGAUCUUAGUUGCCAGCAUUCAGUUGGGCACUCUAAGGUGACUGCCGGUGACAAACCGGAGGAAGGUGGGGAUGACGUCAAAUCAUCAUGCCCCUUAUGACCUGGGCUACACACGUGCUACAAUGGGCAGAACAAAGGGCAGCGAAACCGCGAGGUUAAGCCAAUCCCACAAAUCUGUUCUCAGUUCGGAUCGCAGUCUGCAACUCGACUGC